GGGGGUACAGCUCAGUGGUAGAGCGUGUGCUUGCAUGCACGAGGUGCUGGGUUCAAUCCUCAACACCUCCA
RNAcentral lists this transfer RNA (71 nucleotides) under Camelus bactrianus (Bactrian camel). It matches the Rfam family "tRNA". Rfam says of the family: Transfer RNA (tRNA) molecules are approximately 80 nucleotides in length. Their secondary structure includes four short double-helical elements and three loops (D, anti-codon, and T loops). RNAcentral also lists the same sequence under 1 other name. Lineage: Eukaryota; Metazoa; Chordata; Mammalia; Artiodactyla; Camelidae. The record is from Rfam by way of RNAcentral.